RNAcentral lists this ribosomal RNA (468 nucleotides) under uncultured bacterium. Its description in RNAcentral is "partial 16S ribosomal RNA". It matches the Rfam family "Bacterial small subunit ribosomal RNA", at positions 28 to 507 of the family's 1533-position model. The record is from RNAcentral.
GACGAACGCUGGCGGCGUGCUUAACACAUGCAAGUCGAACGGAAAGGCCCUGCUUUUGUGGGGUGCUCGAGUGGCGAACGGGUGAGUAACACGUGAGUAACCUGCCCUUGACUUUGGGAUAACUUCAGGAAACUGGGGCUAAUACCGGAUAGGAGCUCCUGCUGCAUGGUGGGGGUCGGAAAGUUUCGGCGGUUGGGGAUGGGCUCGCGGCUUAUCAGCUUGUUGGUGGGGUAGUGGCUUACCAAGGCUUUGACGGGUAGCCGGCCUGAGAGGGGGACCGGCCACAUUGGGACUGAGAUACGGCCCAGACUCCUACGGGAGGCAGCAGUGGGGAAUAUUGCACAAUGGGCGGAAGCCUGAUGCAGCAACGCCGCGUGCGGGAUGACGGCCUUCGGGUUGUAAACCGCUUUCGCCUGUGACGAAGCGUGAGUGACGGUAAUGUGUAAAGAAGCACCGGCUAACUACGUG